RNAcentral lists this long non-coding RNA (359 nucleotides) under Carica papaya (papaya). RNAcentral describes it as "long non-coding RNA (CPAP_LNC006272)". The record is from RNAcentral. Lineage: Eukaryota; Viridiplantae; Streptophyta; Magnoliopsida; Brassicales; Caricaceae.
UCGCCACCAGUAUUCGACUUCACCGUUUAACAUAAAAGCUGCAAGAUGGACUUUUUAUUCUUCGAUCAGGUCUAGUACAUAGAAGAGUUUCUCUAUUUGUAGGAUCUAGGCUUCGGCUACUAAAGGAUCAGGACCACCAUCAAAGUGUGGGAGGUUAAAUUUCCUAAACUCUGCUAUAUUAUAGGAGAUAGACUAAUCUGUGUUUCAGAAUUCAAGGGUAGGGGGUGGACAAGAGUUGGCCUAGUUAUGUUCUACGGCUACAGUUAAUCCAUGAAUGACUCAGAAAAGUUCUAAAAAUUCAGCCAUGGUCGGAUGAUCCGAGGCUUCAGGUCGUUCAGUAUGCUCUACGGAUGGUCUUC